This 955-nucleotide non-coding RNA is filed under the name Citharinus gibbosus. RNAcentral describes it as "12S ribosomal RNA". It matches the Rfam family "Bacterial small subunit ribosomal RNA". Lineage: Eukaryota; Metazoa; Chordata; Actinopteri; Characiformes; Citharinidae. The record is from RNAcentral.
CAAAGGCUUGGUCCUGACUUUACUAUCAGCUUUAGCCCAAUUUAUACAUGCAAGUAUCCGCACCCCUGUGAGAAUGCCCUCAAUCCCCCGUCCGGGGACGAGGAGCGGGCAUCAGGCACAUACUCCAUGGCCCAAGACGCCUUGCUACGCCACACCCCCAAGGGAAUUCAGCAGUAAUAAACAUUAAGCCAUGAGUGAAAACUCGACUUAGUUAGGGCUAAAAGGGCCGGUAAAACUCGUGCCAGCCACCGCGGUUAUACGAGAGGCCCUAGUAGAUAGCCACGGCGUAAAGAGUGGUUAAGGAAAUAUUACAAAUAGAGCCAAAGGCCUUCUAAGCUGUAAUACGCACUCCGAAGGUAUGAAGCCCUAACACGAAAGUAGCUCUACUCCUAUCUACCUGACCCCACGAAAGCUAAGAAACAAACUGGGAUUAGAUACCCCACUAUGCUUAGCCAUAAACCUAGAUGACUUACUACAAUUAUCAUCCGCCCGGGUACUACGAGCGCCAGCUUAAAACCCAAAGGACUUGGCGGUGCUUCAGACCCACCUAGAGGAGCCUGUUCUAGAACCGAUAAUCCCCGUUAAACCUCACCACCUCUGGCUUUCCCCGCCUAUAUACCGCCGUCGUCAGCUUACCCUGUGAAGGUCCAAUAGUAAGCACAAUGGUUAAACCCCAAAACGUCAGGUCGAGGUGUAGCGUACGAGGUGGGAAGAAAUGGGCUACAUUUUCUACAUCAGAAUAUCACGAACGGCACACUGAAAUAUGUGCCUAAAGGUGGAUUUAGCAGUAAAAAGAAAGCAGAGAGUCCUUUUGAAGCAGGCUCUGAAGCGCGCACACACCGCCCGUCACCCUCCCCACUAACUUCACUCACAAAAGUAAAUAACCAAAAAUACCCCGUUACGGGGAGGCAAGUCGUAACAUGGUAAGUGUACCGGAAGGUGCACUUGGAAUAAA